UCUUCCCCAUUUAAACAUGAUUACCUCGGUGUAGAUGGACUUUUCAAUCCCUGCCGAGACACAUGGUAAUGAGUUGUCCCAAUUCGGGAUAUUGGAUUGACUGACAGCUUUUGCUUGAAAGUGAUUUUAAGCAAGAAGAUAGAAACUAUCAACAAUUCUGUGUGGUGUAUCAUCAUAGAGAAGUCAAAAGCAGAAUCCUUGUGGCUGACGAAUAAUAGACGCUUUCUGUGCAAGAAUAAUCCGUUGAUGUGUGCGGUGUGAGAGACCACAGACUAUAUGCGGAAAACUCAUUAAGUCAGUUUGCCUUGAAUCCAGGAAACCGGAGUAUAACACAAGAAAUUCGUUAAAGUAGCGGUAUGGCAAAUGUUUGGUUGGCAAAAAACAAAUCUGAACGAACCGUGAAAUUUGUGGGCAUCAAUCCCAUUCGUGCUUGACAGGGGUAAGAAGCCAAGGGUCGCACCCGGAAGCUCAGACUUAUCUCCACGGUGGCUGAAUAUGACUGUAUCUAUGGUGGAUAAAGGGAAACCUUAAUCAUGUUUACCUUGCAGU
RNAcentral lists this non-coding RNA (549 nucleotides) under unclassified sequences. RNAcentral's name for it is "ROOL RNA". It matches the Rfam family "ROOL RNA". Rfam says of the family: Firmicutes, Fusobacteria (1 example), Tenericutes (1 example). The record is from Rfam by way of RNAcentral.